UACGGGGGAGCAAGCGUUGUUCGGAUUUACUGGGCGUAAAGGGCGCGUAGGCGGUCAGCACAAGUCAAUUGUGAAAUCUCCGAGCUUAACUCGGAAAGGUCAACUGAAACUGUGCGACUAGAGUGCGGAAGGGGCAACUGGAAUUCUUGGUGUAGCGGUGAAAUGACGUAGAUAUCAUCCAGAACACCGAUUGCGAAGGCAGGUGGCUACGUUUGAUUUGACACUGAGGCACGAAAGCAUGGGGAGCAAACAGG
RNAcentral lists this ribosomal RNA (254 nucleotides) under uncultured bacterium. RNAcentral describes it as "partial 16S ribosomal RNA". It matches the Rfam family "Bacterial small subunit ribosomal RNA", at positions 524 to 776 of the family's 1533-position model. The record is from RNAcentral.